Molecule: ribosomal RNA, 460 nt
Filed under: uncultured Sphingobacteriales bacterium
Lineage: Bacteria; Pseudomonadati; Bacteroidota; Sphingobacteriia; Sphingobacteriales
Description: bacterial SSU rRNA
Rfam family: Bacterial small subunit ribosomal RNA
Source: RNAcentral
CCCGCACAAGCGGUGGAGCAUGUGGUUUAAUUCGAUGAUACGCGAGGAACCUUACCUGGGCUCAAAUGUAUGUUGACGUAUUCUGAAAGGGAUACUUCUUCGGACAAUAUACAAGGUGCUGCAUGGUUGUCGUCAGCUCGUGCCGUGAGGUGUCGGGUUAAGUCCCAUAACGAGCGCAACCCCUAUCAUUAGUUGCCAUCAGGUCAAGCUGGGGACUCUAAUGAAACUGCCUACGCAAGUAGUGAGGAAGGUGGGGAUGACGUCAAAUCAGCACGGCCCUUACGUCCAGGGCUACACACGUGCUACAAUGGCCGGUACAAAGGGCAGCUACCUGGUGACAGGAUGCUAAUCUCCAAAACCACUCUCAGUUCGGAUCGGAGUCUGCAACUCGACUCCGUGAAGCUGGAUUCGCUAGUAAUCGCGCAUCAGCCACGGCGCGGUGAAUACGUUCCCGGGCCUU